AUCCGGUCGACCUGCCGGAAUCCGACGCUCUCCCCAAGGACACAAGCCAUGCAUGCCCGCGCACCCGGGAGGCGGCGGACGGCUCAGGACAACGGUUGCACCCCCCGCGGCGGUCCCUGCUAGCCGGACACCGCUGGCAACCCGGCGCCAAGACGUGCGCGCAAGGGCGGGCGCCCGCGGGCGAGCAGCGUGACGCAGCGACGGCCCGCCCGGGCUUCCGGGGCAUCACCCGGUCGGCGCGGUCGCGCGCGCCGAG
This 256-nucleotide ribosomal RNA is filed under the name Giardia duodenalis. RNAcentral's name for it is "Giardia intestinalis partial small subunit ribosomal RNA". The record is from RNAcentral. Lineage: Eukaryota; Fornicata; Diplomonadida; Hexamitidae.